Molecule: long non-coding RNA, 216 nt
Filed under: Elaeis guineensis (African oil palm)
Lineage: Eukaryota; Viridiplantae; Streptophyta; Magnoliopsida; Arecales; Arecaceae
Description: long non-coding RNA (EGUI_LNC024778)
Source: RNAcentral
GGGGCAGAUAACAUAAUCUUGGAAUGGGAUUUGAAAACAAUAAUCUCUUGGACUAACAGCCAGAUGGAUUGAAAGGUGAAUGCAUACCUAAUCGAUUCUCACUUCCUUUGAAGCCAAUCAUGUAGACAAGAAGGUGAAUAGUAUAGUUGAUUGGUUUGCCGCUCAUAUGGCCAAUAACAUUGGGGCUAUUUUAUGGGAGUCUAUAGCCGCUAUCCU